CCUACGGGUGGCUGCAGUGAGGAAUAUUGGUCAAUGGGCGGAAGCCUGAACCAGCCAAGUAGCGUGCGGGAUGAAGGCCCUACGGGUCGUAAACCGCUUUUGCACGGGGAUAACACCCUCCACUUGUGGAGGUCUGCAGGUACCGUGCGAAUAAGGGCCGGCUAAUUCCGUGCCAGCAGCCGCGGUAAUACGGAAGGCCCGAGCGUUAACCGGAUUCAUUGGGCUUAAAGGGAGCGUAGGCGGGCGUUCAAGUCAGCUGUAAAAUCGCGCGGCUCAACCGCGCCCCGCAGUUGAAACUGGACGCCUUGAGUUCACAACAGGCAGGCGGAAUUCGUGGUGUAGCGGUGAAAUCCGUAGAUAUCAGGAGGAACAUCAGUGGCGAAGGCGGCCGCCUGGCACAAAACUGACGCUGAGGUGCGUAAGCGUGGGUAGCAAACAGGAUUAGAUACCCCGGUAGUC
RNAcentral lists this ribosomal RNA (459 nucleotides) under uncultured bacterium. Its description in RNAcentral is "partial 16S ribosomal RNA". It matches the Rfam family "Bacterial small subunit ribosomal RNA", at positions 338 to 795 of the family's 1533-position model. The record is from RNAcentral.